CCCGCAAAGCGGCUGGCCACCUUGACGUGGUUUGCGGGCUUAAGCCCCGAGCUGUCUUGGGGCGAACUAAGAGCCAG
Molecule: non-coding RNA, 77 nt
Filed under: unclassified sequences
Source: RNAcentral